CUUGUACUCCCUCUGUCCGAAAAUACUUGUCAUUGAAAUGGAUGUAUCUAGAUGUAUUUUAGUUCUAGACACAUCCAUUUUGAUGACAAGUAAUUCCGGACGGAGGGAGUACUUG
Triticum aestivum (bread wheat) is the source of this 115-nucleotide non-coding RNA. The record is from Rfam. NCBI's taxonomy places the organism in Eukaryota, Viridiplantae, Streptophyta, Magnoliopsida, Poales, Poaceae.